Molecule: ribosomal RNA, 252 nt
Filed under: uncultured bacterium
Lineage: Bacteria
Description: partial 16S ribosomal RNA
Rfam family: Bacterial small subunit ribosomal RNA
Source: RNAcentral
GACAGAGGUGGCAAGCGUUGUUCGGAUUUACUGGGCGUAAAGCGUGCGUAGGUGGUGAGGUAAGACCUGCGGGAAAGACCUGGGCUUAACCCAGGAAGGUCGCGGGUGACUGCUUUGCUGGAGGACGGGAGAGGAGAGCGGAAUUCCCGGUGUAGCGGUGAAAUGCGUAGAGAUCGGGAAGAAGGCCGGUGGCAAGGCGGCUCUCUGGAACGUUCCUGACACUGAGGCACGAAAGCGUGGGGAGCAAACAGG